AUACAUUUUAGUCAGCAAAAAUGUCUAAAAGGGAAAAGGAAUUCAAGAUAUGAAAAGGGGUGAUAGAAUGAUUUUAUUGUGACUACAAAUAUUCAUGAACAAAGACCACUUCUUAUCUAGAAAUAAUUAAGACAGUAAUGAAGGCAUCCAUAUGAAGGAUAUACUUUUUGUGAAGUUGUCUACCUUAAAGAUAUUGUUGGGAAUAUUAUUUUAAUAAGUAUUUAAUAUUAGACAGUUACAGUUCAGACUAUUCUAGCACAGGGCAAUUUGAUACAAUGGUAAACUCUUCCAAACUGCUUAAUUUUUAAAGCUACUGUCUACAUUGUGCUAUUGAAUUAUGGUAGGCAAUCCAAUCGGACUUAAAUCCAGAACACUUAAAAUGCAUAAACUACUUCUGUUUAUGUUACAGGGUGUGGUUUAAUCUUUCCACUUCUGACACAUUGUUCAAGACAUGUCUUCUUGUUACAAUACGGCAAGAGCCUAGAGACAGAGCUCACAGCUUUCUCCACCCAGGAGGCCAAUGUUACUUCCGAUGAUUCCCUCACCUGUCCAGUCCAACUACUAAAAGACAGGUAAAGAUCGGUCCUGGGCCAGAUUGAACUGGUUCUUUCAGAGCAGAUGAGAUUGAUCUAAUAUCACUUGCCUGGGCUGCCAGGAGCAAAUGCCACUACACAUCUGAAGCUUCAGAACUUGCCAUGUGAUAUGGGAGACAAAUGAAGCCAGUCAGCAAUGUCAAGGUUUGAAGUGGUGGUCCAUUGAAAGCACUGGGUCUUACAAGUCUGAGAAGUAGCACGUAAAGCGACUAUGCUGUGGUUUUGUUGCAGAUGCCAGUACUCUUGUGUGAAGUUUUGAAGCGUCAGAUGAACUUGGAUCAAAACUUCUUCUUUUCAAAGGCUGAAUCAUUUUAGGAUGUGGAGCUAAAGUUAAAUGAUAUUUUUGAGGAUAUGAGUAUUAUACUAUGCAAACCACAGACACAGGAUAAGAAUUGUUUACACAAUAUUAUUAUACAGUUACAUAUCUAUUGAGAUAGGUCUCAGUCAUGAUUUUUCAGAGGCAGCAGAAAUAUAAAGGGAAAGGAAAUGUUUUACUUUGAUUUAUUUAGUUCUUUAAAUUUGGAUUGUCCCUUUCAGUUUCUUCUUAUUGAUGAGUGACUGAUGGAUACCUGAUCAACCAAUAUUGUAAGAAAAUCUGGGCAGGAAGAAUGAAAUGUAACCUCCCCAAAAAGAUGUGGUACAAUCUCAGGCCACCAAAAUCAAAACCAGAGAGUGGAAAUGAAACACCUGUUGUAACAGUACAAUGAAACAAUAUAAACCUUGUAGCCACUGGAGACAUAUUUCUCUGGGAAUGUACCAGUCAUUUGCAAACUAUCUUUCUGUUAGCAAUGAGCAAUUCCCCAAAUACUCUCUCCUACCCACAACUGACACACAGUCAUUUGAAGCAGGAGCCAUAGUUUAUCAGGGAUGAAUGGGCCAGACCAGGAAGUUUAUCAGUAUUCACAACUCAAUAAGCAAACAGCGGGGGAGUCUCACAACCAAAUGUGGGACUUAAUAACUAGUGCUUGUUGUUUCAGACAUCCCAAACAGAGGAUAUUAACCUACUGCUGUGGCUGGGCUUGUUUGCUGUGAUAAAGGCAAGUACAAACA
Long non-coding RNA from Gopherus evgoodei (Goodes thornscrub tortoise), 1643 nucleotides. RefSeq lists it as uncharacterized. The transcript is spliced from 4 exons. Lineage: Eukaryota; Metazoa; Chordata; Testudines; Testudinidae. The record is from RefSeq and is a predicted model, not a curated record.